RNAcentral lists this ribosomal RNA (823 nucleotides) under uncultured Bacteroidota bacterium. Its description in RNAcentral is "bacterial SSU rRNA". It matches the Rfam family "Bacterial small subunit ribosomal RNA", at positions 373 to 1200 of the family's 1533-position model. The record is from RNAcentral. Lineage: Bacteria; Pseudomonadati; Bacteroidota.
GGACGAAAGUCUGAACCAGCCAUGCCGCGUGAAGGAUGACUGCCCUAUGGGUUGUAAACUUCUUUUGUAUAGGAAGAAACCCCUCUACGUGUAGAGGGCUGACGGUACUAUUCGAAUAAGCACCGGCUAACUCCGUGCCAGCAGCCGCGGUAAUACGGAGGGUGCGAGCGUUAUCCGGAAUUAUUGGGUUUAAAGGGUGCGUAGGCGGAAAUUUAAGUCAGUGGUGAAAGCCUACAGCUUAACUGUAGAAUUGCCAUUGAAACUGAAUUUCUUGAAUCUAAUUGAAGUAGGCGGAAUAUGACAUGUAGCGGUGAAAUGCUUAGAUAUGUCAUAGAACACCGAUAGCGAAGGCAGCUUACUAAGUUAGUAUUGACGCUAAUGCACGAAAGCGUGGGUAGCGAACAGGAUUAGAUACCCUGGUAGUCCACGCCGUAAACGAUGAUUACUCGCUAUUGGCGAUAUACUGUCAGUGGCUAAGCGAAAGUGAUAAGUAAUCCACCUGGGGAGUACGAUCGCAAGGUUGAAACUCAAAGGAAUUGACGGGGGCCCGCACAAGCGGUGGAGCAUGUGGUUUAAUUCGAUGAUACGCGAGGAACCUUACCAGGUCUUAAAUGCAUAACGAACAGUUGGGAAACCAACCUUUCUUCGGACGGAAUGCAAGGUGCUGCAUGGUUGUCGUCAGCUCGUGCCGUGAGGUGUCAGGUUAAGUCCUAUAACGAGCGCAACCCCUAUUCUUAGUUGCCAGCGGUUCGGCCGGGGACUCUAAGAAAACUGCCAGUGCAAGCUGUGAGGAAGGUGGGGAUGACGUCAAAUCAUCACGGCC